This 393-nucleotide unclassified non-coding RNA is filed under the name Zea mays. RNAcentral's name for it is "misc RNA Zm00001eb013210". Lineage: Eukaryota; Viridiplantae; Streptophyta; Magnoliopsida; Poales; Poaceae. The record is from RNAcentral.
CUGCUCGCUCCCUCCCAUGGCGCCUCCACCUACCAGCUUCGCCCAGCAGCUAUGGCGCCCAAGCUCUCUGCUCCCUCCCUCUCCAAUGCAGCAGCACGUGAGCUCGCCCCCUCACUCCUCUUCCCUGUCACGGCCAGGAAACACCGGAUCUCGCGCCCUCUCUCUGGUUUGGGUGGAGCAGCACCUCCCCUGCUAUCUCCUCCCCGACGCCCCUUCGAGAUGGCACCCAACAGCCCCGGCACCUUCCCUGCUUCGUCUCGCUGCCACCGCUGCGCGCGUGCCAAGUGUUCGGCAAAAUGUCGAGGGAGACGUGUUGUUGCAGCACCGUCGACGCUCACCGGUUGGUCGCUGUUUUGCGCAUCCCAUCCGCGACGCCGUCGAAAACCGUGGUGA